UCGACUACUCUAACAGGUAGUAAGGACUGCGCCAUGUUGGCGACCAUUCAUUGAACUCUUUCCAGGUGUACUCGUAUCCCAGAUCAAAUGUGGUACCAUGUUUAUUCAUCUUGAUAGGCUUAGCGAUCCCUUUGGAGAUUCUUGUCGAGUCCUUUGCCUGGUGCAUAACCUCACCAGUUCAAUAUGCUUUCAAUUUUUUUGUACGACCACUUGUCCUUAUCAAUGGAGUUAACUCGCUCGAUGUGGUGAGAUGUCUCCUCACCUAUCUUUCUUCUUCCUUCGAUUGCUGGGAUGGUUUGGCCACUGUAUAUGGGAUUUUUACCGUCAUCGUGAAUGAUCACCUCUUAGUGAUUCCACUCAAACUUCAGUGCCUGAUGUAAUGUUGAUGCUACAGCUCCAACUGCAUGAAUCCAUGCCCGUCCCAAUAGCAAGUUGUAAGCCGCCGAACUUUUAUUACUUGAAAGUUAACAUCGAACAAAGUAGGCCCCUUCUGUAAACACAAGUUACUCUCCCAAUAGUGGACCUUCCGGAACCGUCGAAGGCUUUGACAUUGAUGGUCCCGUCUUUGAUCUCAUGCAGGCCCUUCCCCAAUGUCCUUAGUGUUACCAACGGACAAAUAUUGAGAUUGGACCCUCCAUCGAUCAAGACCCUAGUGAUAAAAUAAUCUUUGUAUUGCACGGUGAUGCACAGCGCCUUGUUGUGGCUCAACCCUUCUG
RNAcentral lists this long non-coding RNA (716 nucleotides) under Nicotiana benthamiana. Its description in RNAcentral is "long non-coding RNA (NBEN_LNC005313)". Lineage: Eukaryota; Viridiplantae; Streptophyta; Magnoliopsida; Solanales; Solanaceae. The record is from RNAcentral.